RNAcentral lists this non-coding RNA (393 nucleotides) under Lottia gigantea (owl limpet). Its description in RNAcentral is "Eukaryotic large subunit ribosomal RNA". It matches the Rfam family "Eukaryotic large subunit ribosomal RNA", at positions 1016 to 1383 of the family's 3401-position model. The record is from Rfam by way of RNAcentral. Lineage: Eukaryota; Metazoa; Mollusca; Gastropoda; Lottiidae.
AGUGGUCCACAGUCCUGUUGCUUUCAGGUUCUGCCACACGCAAAGCAUUUGCUCUGUGUAGAAUUUCUUGUGAGGUUUUUAAAGGGCAUAGAGAUCAGUUUUAUUUUUAUGUGUUAACUACGACAGAAGAAAAUGAUAUUAAUUCGAAAUGUACGAGUGCCAAGUGGGUCACUUUUGGUAAGCAGAACUGGCGCCGUGGGAUGAACCAAACGCCGGGUUAAGGCGCCCGUACGUAACGCUCAGCAGAACCCACAGAAGGUAAAGACAGUAGGACGGUGGUCAUGGAAGUUGGUAUCCGCCAACAACUCACCUGCCGAAAUGUUGGGCCAUUAACAACGCCAUGCAGUGUACAAUGGGAGCCCUAAAGAACAAAUGGAUAAUAAUUCAAUGGUA